ACCCGCACAAGCGGUGGAGGAUGUGGUUUAAUUCGACGCAACGCGAAGAACCUUACCUAGGCUUGACAUGCUGGUGAAAACCAUGGAAACAUGGUCUCCCGUAAGGGACAUCAGUACAGGUGGUGCAUGGCUGUCGUCAGCUCGUGUCGUGAGAUGUUGGGUUAAGUCCCGCAACGAGCGCAACCCUUGUCAUUAGUUGCUACAUUCAGUUGGGCACUCUAAUGAGACUGCCGGUGACAAGCCGGAGGAAGGUGGGGAUGACGUCAAGUCCUCAUGGCCCUUAUAGGUGGGGCUACACACGUCAUACAAUGGCUGGUACAAAGGGUUGCCAACCCGCGAGGGGGAGCCAAUCCCAUAAAGCCAGUCGUAGUCCGGAUCGUAGUCUGCAACUCGACUACGUGAAGUCGGAAUCGCUAGUAAUCGUGGAUCAGAAUGUCACGGUGAAUACGUUCCCGGGUCUU
RNAcentral lists this ribosomal RNA (461 nucleotides) under uncultured Rhodoferax sp. RNAcentral's name for it is "bacterial SSU rRNA". It matches the Rfam family "Bacterial small subunit ribosomal RNA", at positions 919 to 1382 of the family's 1533-position model. The record is from RNAcentral. Lineage: Bacteria; Pseudomonadati; Pseudomonadota; Betaproteobacteria; Burkholderiales; Comamonadaceae.